GAUGGUCAUGCGUCGCAUUAGCUAGUUGGCGGGGUAACGGCCCACCAAGGCGACGAUGCGUAGGGGUUCUGAGAGGAAGGUCCCCCACACUGGUACUGAGACACGGACCAGACUCCUACGGGAGGCAGCAGUGAGGAAUAUUGGUCAAUGGCCGCAGGGCUGAACCAGCCAAGUCGCGUGAGGGAUGACGGUCCUAUGGAUUGUAAACCUCUUUUGUCAGGGAGCAAAGGACGCCACGUGUGGCGUUUUGCGAGUACCUGAAGAAAAAGCAUCGGCUAACUCCGUGCCAGCAGCCGCGGUAAUACGGAGGAUGCGAGCGUUAUCCGGAUUUAUUGGGUUUAAAGGGUGCGCAGGCGGAAUGUCAAGUCAGCGGUAAAAUUUCGGGGCUCAACCUCGUCGUGCCGUUGAAACUGGCGUUCUUGAGUGAGCGAGAAGUAUGCGGAAUGCGUGGUGUAGCGGUGAAAUGCAUAGAUAUCACGCAGAACUCCGAUUGCGAAGGCAGCAUACCGGCGCUCAACUGACGCUCAUGCACGAAAGCGUGGGUAUCGAACAGGAUUAGAUACCCUGGUAGUCCACGCAGUAAACGAUGAAUACUAACUGUCCGGGCCGAUUGAGGUCUGG
This 621-nucleotide ribosomal RNA is filed under the name uncultured bacterium. RNAcentral's name for it is "bacterial SSU rRNA". It matches the Rfam family "Bacterial small subunit ribosomal RNA", at positions 224 to 842 of the family's 1533-position model. The record is from RNAcentral.